GCCUGAGUGGCUCAGUCGGUUGAGCAUCUGACUUCAGCUCAGGUCAUGAUCUCGUGGUUCGUGAGUUCGAGCCCCACGUCCAGCU
RNAcentral lists this transfer RNA (85 nucleotides) under Felis catus (domestic cat). It matches the Rfam family "tRNA". Rfam says of the family: Transfer RNA (tRNA) molecules are approximately 80 nucleotides in length. Their secondary structure includes four short double-helical elements and three loops (D, anti-codon, and T loops). Lineage: Eukaryota; Metazoa; Chordata; Mammalia; Carnivora; Felidae. The record is from Rfam by way of RNAcentral.